Molecule: small RNA, 924 nt
Filed under: uncultured Micrococcineae bacterium
Lineage: Bacteria; Bacillati; Actinomycetota; Actinomycetes; Micrococcales
Description: bacterial SSU rRNA
Rfam family: Bacterial small subunit ribosomal RNA (bases 1-492)
Source: RNAcentral
AUGGCUGUCGUCAGCUCGUGUCGUGAGAUGUUGGGUUAAGUCCCGCAACGAGCGCAACCCUCGUUCUAUGUUGCCAGCGGGUUAUGCCGGGGACUCAUAGGAGACUGCCGGGGUCAACUCGGAGGAAGGUGGGGAUGACGUCAAAUCAUCAUGCCCCUUAUGUCUUGGGCUUCACGCAUGCUACAAUGGCCAGUACAAAGGGCUGCGAUGCCGUAAGGUGGAGCGAAUCCCAAAAAACUGGUCUCAGUUCGGAUUGGGGUCUGCAACUCGACCCCAUGAAGUCGGAGUCGCUAGUAAUCGCAGAUCAGCAACGCUGCGGUGAAUACGUUCCCGGGCCUUGUACACACCGCCCGUCAAGUCACGAAAGUCGGUAACACCCGAAGCCGGUGGCCCAACUCGUAAGAGGGGGAGCCGUCGAAGGUGGGGUCGGUGAUUGGGGUGAAGUCGUAACAAGGUAGCCGUACCGGAAGGUGCGGCUGGAUCACCUCCUUUCUAAGGAGCUAAAGGCCAGGCAUUAGCCUGGUCCAUUCUCUGAAGUUGACCACUAGCUAUUCGGUGACCAUUAGGUCCCGGUUUGUCGUAGGCGUUUACGUCUCCGGGCCGGGUUUGGUGGGAAUCGAGCAGACCUCUGUUCCGUUUUCUGGGCACACAGUCGUGGGUCCAGCUAAUGGCGCGUGCAUGUCCGGCUUGUCCGGACCAAUCCGUCUGCCUGAACCGGGAAAGAGCCCAAACGCUUAGGCGUGGCUCACCCGGUGCCCCUUGAGAAUUGCAUAGCGAGCACGAGCAUCUUGUUCUCCAAGCUACAAAAGCCAACGGUGGAUGCCUUGGCGCCUGAAGCCGAUGAAGGACGUGGGUGGCUGCGAUAAGCCACGGGGAGCUGCCUACCGAGCUUUGAUCCGUGGAUGUCCGAAUGGGGAAACCCGG